Molecule: ribosomal RNA, 622 nt
Filed under: Clostridioides difficile
Lineage: Bacteria; Bacillati; Bacillota; Clostridia; Peptostreptococcales; Peptostreptococcaceae
Description: bacterial SSU rRNA
Rfam family: Bacterial small subunit ribosomal RNA
Source: RNAcentral
AAUAUAUUUGAGAGGCAUCUCUUAAAUAUCAAAGGUGAGCCAGUACAGGAUGGACCCGCGUCUGAUUAGCUAGUUGGUAAGGUAACGGCUUACCAAGGCGACGAUCAGUAGCCGACCUGAGAGGGUGAUCGGCCACAUUGGAACUGAGACACGGUCCAAACUCCUACGGGAGGCAGCAGUGGGGAAUAUUGCACAAUGGGCGAAAGCCUGAUGCAGCAACGCCGCGUGAGUGAUGAAGGCCUUCGGGUCGUAAAACUCUGUCCUCAAGGAAGAUAAUGACGGUACUUGAGGAGGAAGCCCCGGCUAACUACGUGCCAGCAGCCGCGGUAAUACGUAGGGGGCUAGCGUUAUCCGGAUUUACUGGGCGUAAAGGGUGCGUAGGCGGUCUUUCAAGUCAGGAGUGAAAGGCUACGGCUCAACCGUAGUAAGCUCUUGAAACUGGGAGACUUGAGUGCAGGAGAGGAGAGUGGAAUUCCUAGUGUAGCGGUGAAAUGCGUAGAUAUUAGGAGGAACACCAGUUGCGAAGGCGGCUCUCUGGACUGUAACUGACGCUGAGGCACGAAAGCGUGGGGAGCAAACAGGAUUAGAUACCCUGGUAGUCCACGCUGUAAACGAUGAGUAC